AUUGAACGCUGGCGGCAUGCCUUACACAUGCAAGUCGAACGGUAACGGGCCUUCGGGUGCCGACGAGUGGCGAACGGGUGAGUAAUACAUCGGAACGUGCCCGAUCGUGGGGGAUAACGAGGCGAAAGCUUUGCUAAUACCGCAUACGAUCUACGUAUGAAAGCAGGGGACCGCAAGGCCUUGCGCGGACGGAGCGGCCGAUGGCAGAUUAGGUAGUUGGUGGGAUAAAAGCUUACCAAGCCGACGAUCUGUAGCUGGUCUGAGAGGAUGAUCAGCCACACUGGGACUGAGACACGGCCCAGACUCCUACGGGAGGCAGCAGUGGGGAAUUUUGGACAAUGGGCGCAAGCCUGAUCCAGCCAUGCCGCGUGCAGGAUGAAGGCCUUCGGGUUGUAAACUGCUUUUGUACGGAACGAAAAGCCUUCUUUUAAUACAGGAGGGUCAUGACGGUACCGUAAGAAUAAGCACCGGCUAACUACGUG
RNAcentral lists this ribosomal RNA (482 nucleotides) under uncultured bacterium. Its description in RNAcentral is "partial 16S ribosomal RNA". It matches the Rfam family "Bacterial small subunit ribosomal RNA", at positions 30 to 507 of the family's 1533-position model. The record is from RNAcentral.